AUGGAGAGGGAUGCUAAUUAUGGGAAGGAAGACGAAGAACUCAAAAAGGUGUUUUCAACUUUUGACAAGAAUGGUGAUGGAUUCAUAACAAAGCAAGAGUUUAUGGAAUCACUAAGGAUCUUCAUGAACGAGAAAGAGAUUGAUGAUAUUAUUGUGAAUUUGACUCAAACAAAGAUGGAUAAUGAUGAGAAGGGAGGAGCAAAACUUGUAUUUGAUGCAUAA
Vicia faba (fava bean) is the source of this 222-nucleotide non-coding RNA. Lineage: Eukaryota; Viridiplantae; Streptophyta; Magnoliopsida; Fabales; Fabaceae. The record is from the annotation of a GenBank genome assembly.